RNAcentral lists this small nuclear RNA (199 nucleotides) under Colletotrichum chlorophyti. RNAcentral's name for it is "U2 spliceosomal RNA". It matches the Rfam family "U2 spliceosomal RNA". Rfam says of the family: U2 is a small nuclear RNA (snRNA) component of the spliceosome (involved in pre-mRNA splicing). Complementary binding between U2 snRNA (in an area lying towards the 5' end but 3' to hairpin I) and the branchpoint sequence (BPS) of the intron results the bulging out of an unpaired adenosine, on the BPS, which initiates a nucleophilic attack at the intronic 5' splice site, thus starting the first of two transesterification reactions that mediate splicing. The record is from Rfam by way of RNAcentral. Lineage: Eukaryota; Fungi; Ascomycota; Sordariomycetes; Glomerellales; Glomerellaceae.
ACCUUCUCUUUGCCUCAUGGCUUAGAUCAAGUGUAGUAUCUGUUCUUUUCAGUUUAAUCUCUGGAAGGUCUUCACUGGAGACCACUUUUGAUUAUUCCUAUUUUUGAUCAUUCGGGUCGGAGGUCACUGCGGCUUGCUGCAUACUUCUGUCCCAUCGUGUCCCUGGUAUUACACUGCUUCCAGGAGAUGCAAAGGUUUU